UAGGAAGUAAUAUAGAGGAAGUAUGAGGAGUUUUGAUCUCCUACGUGCAGGUUCGAUUCCUGCUUUCCUAA
This 71-nucleotide transfer RNA is filed under the name Rhinopomastus cyanomelas (common scimitar-bill). Its description in RNAcentral is "tRNA-Gln". It matches the Rfam family "tRNA". From Rfam's summary of the family: Transfer RNA (tRNA) molecules are approximately 80 nucleotides in length. The record is from RNAcentral. Lineage: Eukaryota; Metazoa; Chordata; Aves; Bucerotiformes; Rhinopomastidae. RNAcentral also lists the same sequence under 2 other names.